CCCAGGGUCCACGCCGGUUCACACCCUGGGCUAUUUUCUGCCGCCCCGUUGGGGCU
RNAcentral lists this small RNA (56 nucleotides) under Fimbriiglobus ruber. RNAcentral's name for it is "Acido-Lenti-1 RNA". It matches the Rfam family "Acido-Lenti-1 RNA". The record is from Rfam by way of RNAcentral. Lineage: Bacteria; Pseudomonadati; Planctomycetota; Planctomycetia; Gemmatales; Gemmataceae.